GUAGGUGGCAAGCGUUGUCCGGAAUUAUUGGGCGUAAAGCGCGCGCAGGCGGUUCUUUAAGUCUGAUGUGAAAGCCCACGGCUCAACCGUGGAGGGUCAUUGGAAACUGGAGAACUUGAGUACAGAAGAGGAAAGCGGAAUUCCACGUGUAGCGGUGAAAUGCGUAGAGAUGUGGAGGAACACCAGUGGCGAAGGCGGCUUUCUGUCUGUAACUGACGCUGAGGCGCGAAAGCGUGGGGGAGCAAACAGGAUUAGAUACCCCGGUAGUCCACGCCGUAAACGAUGAGUGCUAAGUGUUAGGGGGUUUCCGCCCCCCUUAGUGCUGCAGCUAACGCAUUAAGCACUCCGCCUGGGAGUACGGCCGCAAGGCUG
Molecule: ribosomal RNA, 372 nt
Filed under: uncultured organism
Description: partial 16S ribosomal RNA
Rfam family: Bacterial small subunit ribosomal RNA
Source: RNAcentral